CCUACGGGAGGCAGCAGUGAGGAAUAUUGGACAAUGGGCGCAAGCCUGAUCCAGCCAUGCCGCGUGCAGGAAGACGGUCCUAUGGAUUGUAAACUGCUUUUGUACAGGAAGAAACACUCCCUCGUGAGGGAGCUUGACGGUACUGUAAGAAUAAGGAUCGGCUAACUCCGUGCCAGCAGCCGCGGUAAUACGGAGGAUCCAAGCGUUAUCCGGAAUCAUUGGGUUUAAAGGGUCCGUAGGCGGUUUAAUAAGUCAGUGGUGAAAUCUGGUCGCUCAACGAUCAAACGGCCAUUGAUACUGUUAGACUUGAAUUAUUAGGAAGUAACUAGAAUAUGUAGUGUAGCGGUGAAAUGCUUAGAUAUUACAUGGAAUACCAAUUGCGAAGGCAGGUUACUACUAAUGGAUUGACGCUGAUGGACGAAAGCGUGGGGAGCGAACAGGAUUAGAUACCCUGGUAGUCCACGCCGUAAACGAUGGAUACUANCUGUCGUGACAUAUGUAGUGUGUAGAGAAGUAGAGUAAGUAUACCACC
This 532-nucleotide ribosomal RNA is filed under the name uncultured bacterium. Its description in RNAcentral is "bacterial SSU rRNA". It matches the Rfam family "Bacterial small subunit ribosomal RNA", at positions 338 to 873 of the family's 1533-position model. The record is from RNAcentral.